AGAGCCGGCAAGGAACCCGAAAAAAAAACCGAAAACCAAAAAAGGGAUCGAGUCAUCAUUCAUCCCGCAUCCGUCCUGAUUUCGCUUUGUUCUCCUCAAUUUUUUGUUGCCGUGAUUCUCCCUGGCCACUCGGAUAGAAAAUCGUGUGCACAAUGGUCAAGGCCAUUCCUGGAUGAUCCGAUCAAGGCGACACAACUAUGGACUCGACAAUAAGAGGACCAACACCAAUCCAAACCAAACCAAGCAAGCCCAGUUGUCAUACCAUACAAUGGGCAAUAAGAAAAAGUCGGUUAUAGGGACAUGCGGAGGAAUCGCACCCAAAAUGCCAAAAGGAAAUGCUGGCACAAAAGAUACUUAAUCUUAUAGGUAAACCCGAUGAAUGAUGAACGAAUGGCGGCGACGUAACCGAACCCCCGAUACAGCAAUCCGGCAAUCCGGCGAUCGAGCUCGAACGCAAGCCCAAGUCAUU
Molecule: non-coding RNA, 469 nt
Organism: Drosophila melanogaster (fruit fly)
Lineage: Eukaryota; Metazoa; Arthropoda; Insecta; Diptera; Drosophilidae
Source: Ensembl